Molecule: transfer RNA, 90 nt
Filed under: marine sediment metagenome
Description: tRNA-Ser
Rfam family: tRNA
About the family: Transfer RNA (tRNA) molecules are approximately 80 nucleotides in length. Their secondary structure includes four short double-helical elements and three loops (D, anti-codon, and T loops).
Source: RNAcentral
AGAGAGUUGGCCGAGUGGCUUAAAGCAACAGGUUGCUAACUUGUCGGUCCUUCGCGGGACCCGUGGGUUCGAAUCCCACACUCUCUGCCA